UACGUAGGUUGCGAGCGUUAAUCGGAAUUACUGGGCGUAAAGCGUGCGCAGGCGGUUUUGUAAGCCAGAUGUGAAAUCCCCGGGCUUAACCUGGGAAUGGCAUUUGGGACUGCAAGGCUUGAGUGCGGCAGAGGAGACUAGAAUUCCUGGUGUAGCAGUGAAAUGCGUAGAUAUCAGGAGGAAUACCGAUGGCGAAGGCAGGUCUCUGGGCUGACACUGACGCUCAUGCACGAAAGCGUGGGGAGCAAACAGG
Molecule: ribosomal RNA, 253 nt
Filed under: uncultured bacterium
Lineage: Bacteria
Description: partial 16S ribosomal RNA
Rfam family: Bacterial small subunit ribosomal RNA
Source: RNAcentral